GCUGCACCUCUCCUAGCCCUCAUUUAAGGGCUGACUGCCACUAGGAGUUUGCUGACUGCCCCUAAGGAGUUUUCCUUGUGAGCCUAGAUCUUCAGAGAAGGGAACCAACAUUUCAGCCCAUCACGAAGCACCAAGUUGCUGGCUGGCUCUGUGCAGCCUGGGUUGCAGCUCCAACACCUCCCAGCAGGAUGGGCCUGCUCAGUCCCAACGCUGGAGAGUGUCCCGGUAAACGCUGACUGAGGUAGGUGUUCCACUUCUGAGUGGGAAGACCUGAAUGUCAGCUGUCAGUGACUGGUGUUCUGGUCUCAGGCUCCUCUUUUGUCAGUGCCUCCUGUGUGCAUCUUCUUGAGAGGGAUGAAGACAAAAGAGGGCCUACCUUGUGUAGCUGUUGAUGCACUGGAAAGCCAAGAUGCGGCUGGGUAUGUGAUGUGUUUUGGCUGACUUAAUGCUUGUAAUCUUUGUGCACUGUUUGUUUUUCAAUAAAGAACAAUGA
Molecule: long non-coding RNA, 493 nt
Organism: Lagopus muta (rock ptarmigan)
Lineage: Eukaryota; Metazoa; Chordata; Aves; Galliformes; Phasianidae
Exons: 3
Source: RefSeq, a predicted model, not a curated record